Molecule: long non-coding RNA, 436 nt
Filed under: Felis catus (domestic cat)
Lineage: Eukaryota; Metazoa; Chordata; Mammalia; Carnivora; Felidae
Description: lncRNA (ENSFCAG00000051411.1)
Source: RNAcentral
UUAUAAAUGCAUGCAUCUAUAUUUUGACAUAUAUCAGAAGUGUUUGGUCCUGCUAAUAAAUUAAGAGGAAAGGUCUCUACCAGAGGGUUUUCUAAUUUGAAGAUCUAAAGAUGGGCUUGGAAUUGUCACAGAAAGAGUCUCAAGUAAAUUAUUAAUAUGUCAGAAUUUUAGAACUGGAAGAAUUCAGCCAGUCCAAUUCUUUGAUUUCACGGAUGGAGGAGGGCCUGGAAAGUGAAGGGAAUACCUUAUUGCCACCAACUGAAGACAAGCCAAGAAUUAAGGCGUGGUGACUCUAUCGUUCCUUGGUACCGUGUGUCUGAAACAACUUACCUCUGCAUUACUGCAUUCCAGAUACCUGCUCCCACCACCCGCCCUGGGCUCUGCUGGGGUCAUCACAUUUGGAACCACAGUGAGUGUGGGAAAUGACUCAACAGCC